GAAAGCAAACUCAGCUGCAUUUCUGUUCUCUGAAGGGUGAUGGGUGUACCUUGCUCUUCUUUUGUCUGAAAGCCCACGAAGGAACCUGGACCGGAUUAACUAAGUGGCUGCAUCGGGGAAAAAGUCACUCAGAAGAAGAGCCAGCUGGGACCCCCAAACUGAGGUGGAAGGAGAAGACUGGACCAGAUCGCCCUCCUCUCAGCUCAGGGUUGCUGUUUUUUCCUUUUAAAUAAGUAUUUUAUGAAUUUGAACUUAGCAAAUAUUGGCAUCUUCUUCCUCAUAUAAAGAAACUCCUAAGAGGAAAUAGAAAAGCCCCAGUAAGCAUGAACACGGAUUGCCAAGUGCCCUUGGAGAUAACUUGGGUGAAUACUGAAGGCAGAUUCGACUGGGUGUUCAGAAGCAGCGCAGUAGUCAGAAACAGGCGCCAGUGGAUCCGGAACCGGCGGCUC
Bubalus bubalis (water buffalo) is the source of this 449-nucleotide long non-coding RNA. RefSeq lists it as uncharacterized. The transcript has 3 exons. Lineage: Eukaryota; Metazoa; Chordata; Mammalia; Artiodactyla; Bovidae. The record is from RefSeq and is a predicted model, not a curated record.